UUCACAGUUUUUGGGAUAUUUUUUUACCCUACUUCGCGUGCUGCCACGUGUUUUUCGCUGUUAUAUUCGGUCUCCAUGUGUAUUUUGGGGGACACGUUGCUAUUUGGCAGUAUUUUCUGUCCUCUCAGUUCUGCCUUAUGUGUGUGGUUUCGGGUGAGUGUAGUGUUUCUUUGUUACUGUGCUGAUGACGCCGGGUGGGCCCGUCUGGGACGUCGACUGCUGCGACCGCCGCUUGACCACUUUUCUGGCCGGCUCCUCUCUUCCCUUUUUUUUUUUCUCCUGCGCCUCUUUUCUUUCUUCCUCAGUUUUGCCACUGGGUGCCCCGUCCUCUCUCUGCUUCAAUUUGCCUCCAAUGGCGAGGGGAUCGGCGCGCCCACCUCUUUCCGUCCGCGCCACGCGGCCGGGGCCGUCCUCAUUCAGGGACCAGCGGCGACGAUGGAGCUGCAGCUGCGUGCGCCGGCGCGGGUGUAUUCGCCUGACCCUGAUUGGUACAUCCACUGAGGGAGGGCGGUUCUAGGCGGCGGCCAGCAGAGUCCGCGAGCGAGCAACCCAGUGGCGGUAUGCGGCCAGAUACUGGAUGUGCGCACUCCAGCCAUCUGUCCCGCAACGGAUGGAUUCACUGUAGCGGUUGGAUUGCCGCCAGGGAGGAGCGGCCGACAGGGAUGGCCGGCAGCGACCGGUUGUGGUGCACACCACCGUCCUCCUCCCCUUUACCCGCAAGUCUGGGUGCGCGCAUCUCCGUCGCCUCGGCCUCGCCGUCGCGGCGCCCCGCCCCUUCUCGGCGUACGCGCCCACUGCCGAUUUGACGAGCUGAGGAUCUUCUCACCGUCGAGUCCACCUGUGUGCAGCUCCGAUGCGCCGGCCUCGCCGUCGCGGCGACCUGCCUCCUCUCGGCGUGUGCGCCCGCGGCCAAUUUGACGAGGUGAGGAUCUGCUCACCGCCUGGGAUCUCGAUCUGCCCCGCUUGCCGUCUCCUGCCUUGGCGCCCCGGUGCCCCGGCGAGCUCGCACUCGCGGAGGAUGUCGUCCUUGCCCAUCAGCGCUGUUUCAUCAGCGCGUGUCUCCCGCUGGAGGUACUACACGCUCAGCGAGUUCGCCAGCGGCGUUCGACUCCGCGGACGGAGCGAGGAGAACCUGCUUUGUACGUAACCUCCUCUCCUGCGCGACCAACUUCAGGAUGAAGUCCCUGCAUCGAUUUCCUAGAUUCCGGGCAGACUUCACCGCCGGCAUGCUGCACUUACCUUACUGCUGCCGAGCUUCUUUUUCUUCUCUGACAUGUUCUUGAUUUGCCUCCCUUCGUAUCCGAAUAAUGGUCUUGCCCAGAACAUGUUCGUUUGAAUGGCCAGCAAUUUGGGCAUGGAUGAUUGCCGGGUGAAUUCUCUGUUUAUCUGGUUUGAUUCGUUUGGAUCGGAGGUAGUCUGAAGUGUAUCCAUGAGUGAUUUACUGGAAGCAUCUCUAUAUAUACUUUUUUCAUACUACAGUUCUAAUCAAGAGUUAGGAUGGUCCUUCUACUGAACAAUAGAGUUCUCCUAUUUUAAAACAGGUCGGCAGAACCUAUUUUAAAAUCAGCAUUUGUCUUGAAUGAAAGUUCUCAUUUUAUUUUCAUGACAUAUCUUAGAAGUACUUUUCUUUGGCAUGUUACGUCAUCCUGAUUAGAAUUUUCCCCCACUGAAUCAGACCUGAAAUGUAUCAUUUCAUAUGCUAAUUUUGUGUGUGUGUGUGUGUGUCUUUCAUAAUAUGAAUUUCAAUCAGUGCAGAUGUGGUGUGCGAUGGUCCAUUAAGAAUAUGAGAUGGAUUGGUGUUCUCAAGGACGUUUUCGGUCCGUAUGUUAGCUUAUGCAUUGUUCCUGGUACUCUGUCCAGCAAAAUGCUCAGAAGCCGUAAUUAAAGUUCUUUAUGGCAAAGAACUUUCAUAUGUGGUUAUUUUCAUGCUGAAGCGCUAGAUAUUGGUGGUCUGCUAGGACAUAACACAGGAAGCUAAAGAGUUGUGCCUCCCCAAGGCCGUUUAGGUCUUCCUUUGAAGGUAGAACAUCCGGGUCAAUACAGUGAACUGUGUCCAUAAAUCCUUAGGCUCUGAUAUGGCACUACAGUAAAAAACAUACUCCACCGACUCUUAGCUCAUGACACCCAAAGCAGCGGAGAAAAGUUGCACUGCUCACCGUUAUACACACCGGCAAUUGUAUCAAAGCCGAUGCAAGAUCCGCAGCAUUUUUGCACAUAGCAAAGAAAGCACAAGCUAAUGGUACGACCAGCGUCCCUCCUGGCUUCUCCCCUUCGGAUCGGCUUGCCGAACAAAAAGGGUAAAAUGCCCAUGGAAGAACAGGGUUCACAGACCAGCCCAAGGGGCAUAGCUAGGAGGCAAGGUAGGCCUCCAGUGGUCCGAUUUCUACCAGAUAUCCAGCUAUGCCGCGGGUUCAAGAGAGUGAGUGCAGAUACCAUCAGCAUUUCAGCAGCACAUCUCUGGCAAGUUUCCCAAGAAGAUCAUCCUGGGCAACACCGCCUUAACACAAUGGAAUCUAUAUUGACCAUGGAUUAUAUUGCUGAACGUCGUCAGCUACAAUGUCAAUAUGUAGGCAACAAUGGUGGGGAAAAUAGAUCAGCCAUAUUUUAUAAGCCGCUUCAUGGAAGCAGUAGAGUGUUAGUAUAUUAGCCAUUAUUGCGCUAUUCGUUUUUUUUUCUCGCUUUUGCUCACUGGGUCACACUAUUUUGUUUGCCAGCAUGAUGUUCUUAAUUAUUUAAUUAUAUAUCAUUGAUUGUAGUGACACUAUUAAGACCCUUAAGUAUAUUAAUCAUGUCUCGACCUACUGUGUUCAUUAUAUGGAUAACCCGUGUGUCUCUUUU
Lolium perenne is the source of this 2838-nucleotide non-coding RNA. The record is from RefSeq and is a predicted model, not a curated record. NCBI's taxonomy places the organism in Eukaryota, Viridiplantae, Streptophyta, Magnoliopsida, Poales, Poaceae.